CCUUUGUGCUGAGUAGGUUGAUGUUAAAAGCAAUGAGGAACUUCCUCGCCCCCGUGGCCGUGGCCCCCCAACUGGGCACAAAGGAGCUAGGGCCAAAGUCGGGCGCCCACUCGGCCUGCUGGAGCUGUGGGCAAGUUUACCCUGGGAACCGCAAGCAACCACAUAAAUAUAACGACAGAGAAAAGGAAAAACUCGUGAACCCGCACACCAGUGUGACUGUGACGUGGGCGCUGUGUCGGGAUUUCCUUCAGGGGGGACUGGCAUGACAGUGACAGGGGUUACGUGUGCCCUGCACGGCGGCGUGACCGUGACGUGGGUUACGUGUGCCCUGCAUGCUGGCGUGACUGUGACGGGGGUUACGUGUGCCCUGCACGCUGGCGUGACUGUGACCUAUGUCCCUGCCUCAGGAUUUCUUUCCAGGAGAGCUGGGUUGGUGCAGCCUGGGGCUGGGUGUGCACUUUGUCCCGUUUGUCUCUGUUUGUCUCGUAUCAUUUUCUUGAUUUAGUUAAUUUCCCAAAGUGAAAUUAUUCUACUCUAGAA
RNAcentral lists this non-coding RNA (540 nucleotides) under Pongo abelii (Sumatran orangutan). The record is from RNAcentral. Lineage: Eukaryota; Metazoa; Chordata; Mammalia; Primates; Hominidae.